UGAGUAACACGUAUACCAACCUGCCGAUGACUACCGGGNAGUAGCCUUUCGAAAGAAAGAUUAAUACCCGAUGGCAUAGUUCUUCCGCAUGGUAGAACUAUUUAAAGAAUUUCGGUCAUCGAUGGAGAUGCGUUCCAUUAGCUUGUUGGCGGGUAACGGCCCACCAAGGCAUCGAUGGAUAGGGGUUCUGAGAGGAAGGUCCCCCACAUUGGAACUGAGACACGGUCCAAACUCCUACGGAAGGCAGCAG
Molecule: ribosomal RNA, 250 nt
Filed under: uncultured bacterium
Lineage: Bacteria
Description: partial 16S ribosomal RNA
Rfam family: Bacterial small subunit ribosomal RNA
Source: RNAcentral